This 445-nucleotide ribosomal RNA is filed under the name uncultured bacterium. RNAcentral's name for it is "bacterial SSU rRNA". It matches the Rfam family "Bacterial small subunit ribosomal RNA", at positions 354 to 796 of the family's 1533-position model. The record is from RNAcentral.
GUGAGGAAUAUUGCGCAAUGGAGGCAACUCUGACGCAGCCAUGCCGCGUGCAGGAAGAAGGCGCUACGCGUUGUAAACUGCUUUUAACCGGGAAGAAACCCCAGGACGUGUCCUGGGUUGACGGUACCGGAGGAAUAAGCACCGGCUAACUUCGUGCCAGCAGCCGCGGUAAUACGAAGGGUGCAAGCGUUAUCCGGAUUCAUUGGGUUUAAAGGGUGCGUAGGCGGAGCGUUAAGUCAGUGGUGAAAUCCUGCAGCUUAACUGUAGACUUGGCAUUGAUACUGGCGCACUUGAGUGCGCUUGAAGUGGGCGGAAUGUGCCGUGUAGCGGUGAAAUGCUUAGAUAUGGCACAGAACACCAAUUGCGAAGGCAGCUCACUAAGGCGAUACUGACGCUGAGGCACGAAAGCGUGGGGAUCGAACAGGAUUAGAUACCCGUGUAGUCC